Molecule: ribosomal RNA, 432 nt
Filed under: uncultured bacterium
Lineage: Bacteria
Description: partial 16S ribosomal RNA
Rfam family: Bacterial small subunit ribosomal RNA
Source: RNAcentral
AACGAACGCUGGCGGCAUGCCUAACAUAUGCAAGUCGAACGAGACCUUCGGGUCUAGUGGCGCACGGGUGCGUAACGCGUGGGAACCUGCCCUUAGGUUCGGAAUAACUCCCCGAAAGGGGUGCUAAUACCGGAUAAUGUCUUCGGACCAAAGAUUUAUCGCCUUUGGAUGGGCCCGCGUUGGAUUAGCUAGUUGGUAGGGUAAAAGCCUACCAAGGCGGCGAUCCAUAGCUGGUCUGAGAGGAUGAUCAGCCACACUGGGACUGAGACACGGCCCAGACCCCUACGGAAGGGAGAAGUGGGGAAUAUGGGACAAGGGGCGAAAGCCGAAUCCAGCAAUGCCGGGGAAGUGGGGAAGGACUGAGGGUUGAAAAGCUCUUUUACCCGGGAUGAUAAGAAGGUACCCGGGAAAAAAGCCCCGGGUAAACCCGUG